UUACAGGUCUCCGUUUGGUGACCAGCGGAGGGAUCAUUUACAGAGUUUUCCUAAACUCCUAACCCUAUGUGAACUUACCUUUGUUGCUUCGGCGGCGGAGGCUACCCUACGGGGCUACCACCUAGUGGUUACCCUGUAGUCCCAGGUGCUGAUUCGUUCCCAGCGUUUCUCGCAAACGGUCAGCUACCCGGUGGCCCUCCCCGCCGGCGGCCAACUAAACUCUGUUUUCUUUGACAUUCUGAAUUAUAAACUUAAUAAGUUAAAACUUUCAACAACGGAUCUCUUGGUUCUGGCAUCGAUGAAGAACGCAGCGAAAUGCGAUAAGUAAUGUGAAUUGCAGAAUUCAGUGAAUCAUCGAAUCUUUGAACGCACAUUGCGCCCAUUAGCAUUCUAGUGGGCAUGCCUGUUCGAGCGUCAUUUCACCACUUAAGCCCUGUUGCUUAGCGUUGGGAGCCUACGGCACGGCCCGUAGCUCCCUAAAGUGAUUGGCGGAGUUGGUUCUCACUCUAAGCGUAGUAAAUCUAUCUCGCUUCUGUAGUGGUGCCGGCCCUUGCCGUAAAACCCCCUAUAUCAAAGGUUGACCUCGGAUCAGGUAGGAAUACCCGCUGAACUUAAGAAAAAGG
This 623-nucleotide ribosomal RNA is filed under the name Muscodor sp. GS3_3_4. RNAcentral describes it as "eukaryotic LSU rRNA". The stretch from base 264 to 417 matches the Rfam family "5.8S ribosomal RNA". The record is from RNAcentral. Lineage: Eukaryota; Fungi; Ascomycota; Sordariomycetes; Xylariales.